Molecule: ribosomal RNA, 410 nt
Filed under: uncultured soil bacterium C0155
Lineage: Bacteria
Description: bacterial SSU rRNA
Rfam family: Bacterial small subunit ribosomal RNA
Source: RNAcentral
ACGGUCCAGACACNUACGGGUGGCAGCAGUCGAGAAUUUUUCUCAAUGGGGGCAACCCUGAAGGAGCGACGCCGCGUGGAGGAUGAAGGCUUUCGGGUUGUAAACUCCUGUCAUUUGGGAACAAGUUACACACGUUAACUGCGUGCGUAUUGAUAGUACCAGAAGAGGAAGAGACGGCUAACUCUGUGCCAGCAGCCGCGGUAAUACAGAGGUCUCAAGCGUUGUUCGGAUUCAUUGGGCGUAAAGGGUGCGUAGGUGGCGCCGUAAGUCAGGUGUGAAAUUUCGGAGCUUAACUCCGAAACUGCAUUUGAUACUGCGGUGCUUGAGGACUGGAGAGGAGACUGGAAUUCACGGUGUAGCAGUGAAAUGCGUAGAUAUCGUGAGGAAGACCAGUGGCGUNGACCGUGAUU